This is a non-coding RNA of Glycine soja, 114 nucleotides long. NCBI's taxonomy places the organism in Eukaryota, Viridiplantae, Streptophyta, Magnoliopsida, Fabales, Fabaceae. The record is from Rfam.
CCAUAAUUGAAUGAUAACGGUCACAUGUUUGAUUGGAUAUCAACUCCAUAAAAGAUGAAAUACAUUGUUGUUUUCAUUGAUCAAUCAGAACAUGGCACGUGACGGUCAACAUUC